UUUGAUUGACAUACAUUGUUUGAUUCUUCUUCAACAGCCUAAGUUUUUGGGGUCAAUACAUAAUAUCAAAACCUCCAGUCCUCAUUUUCUCUUUAUAUUUCUCUUUAUACUACCUUCUCUGGUGCAUGAUUUAGGCUAGCUUGAUAUAUAUUGUUGUCUCAUUCUCGGCCAAUCAGUAUAAAAUUCAUGACGGCCAAUAGUUCCUUUCUGGCAAACCAUCUCCCAGUGAAAGACACUUUAAAGACAAUAGGAAAAUCCUUAAAAUUUACACUAGAGAAAGCAUUGUUCUUGUUUUAUUUUCAUCUGAAGGUGACAUAUGACAUAUUGUCUCAGUCUGAAGAAACAAACAAGUGGUCAAUUCUAAGUUACAUACACGAU
This 378-nucleotide long non-coding RNA is filed under the name Prunus persica (peach). RNAcentral describes it as "long non-coding RNA (PPER_LNC002730)". Lineage: Eukaryota; Viridiplantae; Streptophyta; Magnoliopsida; Rosales; Rosaceae. The record is from RNAcentral.